Molecule: ribosomal RNA, 459 nt
Filed under: uncultured bacterium
Lineage: Bacteria
Description: partial 16S ribosomal RNA
Rfam family: Bacterial small subunit ribosomal RNA
Source: RNAcentral
CCUACGGGGGGCAGCAGUGAGGAAUAUUGGUCAAUGGUCGGGAGACUGAACCAGCCAAGCCGCGUGAGGGAUGAAGGUACAGAGUAUCGUAAACCUCUUUUGUCAGGGAACAAAGGCGGGGACGUGUCCCCGGAUGAGUGUACCUGAAGAAAAAGCAUCGGCAAACUCCGUGCCAGCAGCCGCGGUAAUCCGGAGGAUGCGAGCGUUAACCGGAUUUAUGGGGUUAAAGGGUGGCGGAGGCGGUCUGUUAAGUCAGCGGUCAAAGCCCGGGGCUCAACCCCGGCCCGCCGUUGAAACUGGGAGUCUCGAGUUGGAGAGAAGUAUGCGGAAUGCGCGGUGUAGCGGUGAAAUGCAUAGAUAUCGCGCAGAACUCCGAUUGCGAAGGCAGCAUGCCGGCUCCACACUGACGCUGAGGCACGAAAGCGUGGGUAUCGAACAGGAUUAGAUACCCUUGUAGUC